GCGGUUCUCCGCGGCAAUCACCAGUGGCCUCCGAAGCCAAGGGUCGCUGGUUCGAUCCCAGCCAGCCGCGCCA
RNAcentral lists this transfer RNA (73 nucleotides) under Massilia arenae. RNAcentral's name for it is "Massilia sp. GEM5 tRNA-Ser". The record is from RNAcentral. Lineage: Bacteria; Pseudomonadati; Pseudomonadota; Betaproteobacteria; Burkholderiales; Oxalobacteraceae.